CCUACGGGGUGCAGCAGUGGGGAAUAUUGGACAAUGGGCGAAAGCCUGAUCCAGCCAUGCCGCGUGUGUGAAGAAGGCCUUCGGGUUGUAAAGCACUUUCAGUGGGGAAGAAAGCCUUGGGGCUAAUACCCUCGAGGAAGGACAUCACCCACAGAAGAAGCACCGGCUAACUCCGUGCCAGCAGCCGCGGUAAUACGGAGGGUGCGAGCGUUAAUCGGAAUUACUGGGCGUAAAGCGCGCGUAGGCGGUCUGAUAAGCCGGUUGUGAAAGCCCCGGGCUCAACCUGGGAACGGCAUCCGGAACUGUCAGGCUAGAGUGCAGGAGAGGAAGGUAGAAUUCCCGGUGUAGCGGUGAAAUGCGUAGAGAUCGGGAGGAAUACCAGCGGCGAAGGCGGCCUUCUGGACUGACACUGACGCUGAGGUGCGAAAGCGUGGGUAGCAAACAGGAUUAGAUACCCCAGUAGUC
This 465-nucleotide ribosomal RNA is filed under the name Vreelandella stevensii. RNAcentral describes it as "partial 16S ribosomal RNA". It matches the Rfam family "Bacterial small subunit ribosomal RNA", at positions 338 to 795 of the family's 1533-position model. The record is from RNAcentral. Lineage: Bacteria; Pseudomonadati; Pseudomonadota; Gammaproteobacteria; Oceanospirillales; Halomonadaceae.